GAACGAACGCUGGCGGCGUGCCUAACACAUGCAAGUCGAACGAUUUAAAUUUCGUAGCAAUACGGAGUUUAGAUAGUGGCGCACGGGUGAGUAACACGUGAGUGAUCUGCCUCCAAGCUUGGGAUAACCUGCCGAAAGGCGGGCUAAUACCGGAUAAGGCCACAGUACCUUACGGUACAGGGGUUAAAGGUGGCGCAAGCUACCACUUGGAGAUGAGCUCGCGGCCCAUCAGCUAGUUGGUAGGGUAAUGGCCUACCAAGGCUAUGACGGGUAGCUGGUCUGAGAGGACGACCAGUCACACUGGAACUGAGACACGGUCCAGACUCCUACGGGAGGCAGCAGUGGGGAAUAUUGCGCAAUGGGGGAAACCCUGACGCAGCAACGCCGCGUGGGUGAUGAAGGCCUUCGGGUCGUAAAGCCCUGUCAGCAGGGAAGAAACUCCGGGAUUCGAAUAGGGUCUCGGAUUGACGGUACCUGCGGAGGAAGCACCGGCUAACUCCGUGCCAGCAGCCGCGGUAAAACGGAGGGUGCAAGCGUUGUUCGGAAUUACUGGGCGUAAAGCGCGUGCAGGUGGUCUUUCAAGUUUCGUGUGAAAUCCCACGGCUUAACCGUGGAACGGCACGGAAAACUGGAAGACUUGAAUACGGGAGAAGAGGGCGGAAUUCCCAGUGUAGAGGUGAAAUUCGUAGAUAUUGGGAGGAACACCGGUGGCGAAAGCGGCUCUCUAGACCGAUAUUGACGCUCAUACGCGAGAGCGUGGGUAGCAAACAGGAUUAGAUACCCUGGUAGUCCACGCUGUAAACGAUGGAUGCUAGGUGUUGCGGGAGUUGACCCCCGCAGUGCCGAAGCCAACGCAUUAAGCAUCCCGCCUGGGAAGUACGGUCG
RNAcentral lists this ribosomal RNA (885 nucleotides) under uncultured bacterium. RNAcentral describes it as "bacterial SSU rRNA". It matches the Rfam family "Bacterial small subunit ribosomal RNA", at positions 27 to 888 of the family's 1533-position model. The record is from RNAcentral.